UUGAACGCUGGCGGCAGGCCUAACACAUGCAAGUCGAACGGUAACAGGAAGAAGCUUGCUUCUUUGCUGACGAGUGGCGGACGGGUGAGUAAUGUCUGGGAAACUGCCUGAUGGAGGGGGAUAACUACUGGAAACGGUAGCUAAUACCGCAUAACGUCGCAAGACCAAAGAGGGGGACCUUCGGGCCUCUUGCCAUCGGAUGUGCCCAGAUGGGAUUAGCUAGUAGGUGGGGUAACGGCUCACCUAGGCGACGAUCCCUAGCUGGUCUGAGAGGAUGACCAGCCACACUGGAACUGAGACACGGUCCAGACUCCUACGGGAGGCAGCAGUGGGGGAUAUUGCACAAUGGGCGCAAGCCUGAUGCAGCCAUGCCGCGUGUAUGAAGAAGGCCUUCGGGUUGUAAAGUACUUUCAGCGGGGAGGAAGGGAGUAAAGUUAAUACCUUUGCUCAUUGACGUUACCCGCAGAAGAAGCACCGGCUAACUCCGUG
This 489-nucleotide ribosomal RNA is filed under the name uncultured bacterium. RNAcentral's name for it is "partial 16S ribosomal RNA". It matches the Rfam family "Bacterial small subunit ribosomal RNA", at positions 30 to 507 of the family's 1533-position model. The record is from RNAcentral.